Molecule: ribosomal RNA, 492 nt
Filed under: uncultured bacterium
Lineage: Bacteria
Description: partial 16S ribosomal RNA
Rfam family: Bacterial small subunit ribosomal RNA
Source: RNAcentral
AGUGAACGCUGGCGGUAGGCCUAACACAUGCAAGUCGAACGGCAGCACAGUAAGAGCUUGCUCUUACGGGUGGCGAGUGGCGGACGGGUGCGGAAUACAUCGGAAUCUACUUUUUCGUGGGGGAUAACGUAGGGAAACUUACGCUAAUACCGCAUACGACCUACGGGUGAAAGCAGGGGAUCUUCGGACCUUGCGCGAUUGAAUGAGCCGAUGUCGGAUUAGCUAGUUGGCGGGGUAAAGGCCCACCAAGGCGACGAUCCGUAGCUGGUCUGAGAGGAUGAUCAGUCACACUGGAACUGAGACACGGUCCAGACUCCUACGGGAGGCAGCAGUGGGGAAUAUUGGACAAUGGGCGCAAGCCUGAUCCAGCCAUACCGCGUGUGUGAAGAAGGUCUUCGGGUUGUAAAGCCCUUUUGUUGGGAAAGAAAAGCAGCAGGUUAAUACCCCGCUGUUCUGACGGUACCCAAAGAAUAAGCACCGGCUAACUUCGUG